This 781-nucleotide ribosomal RNA is filed under the name uncultured Lactobacillus sp. RNAcentral describes it as "bacterial SSU rRNA". It matches the Rfam family "Bacterial small subunit ribosomal RNA", at positions 28 to 776 of the family's 1533-position model. Lineage: Bacteria; Bacillati; Bacillota; Bacilli; Lactobacillales; Lactobacillaceae. The record is from RNAcentral.
GACGAACGCUGGCGGCGUGCCUAAUACAUGCAAGUCGAGCGAGCUUGCCUAUUGAAAUUCUUCGGAAUGGACAUAGAUACAAGCUAGCGGCGGAUGGGUGAGCAACGCGUGGGUAACCUGCCCUUAAGUCUGGGAUACCAUUUGGAAACAGAUGCUAAUACCGGAUAAAAGCUACUUUCGCAUGAAAGAAGUUUAAAAGGCGGCGUAAGCUGUCGCUAAAGGAUGGACCUGCGAUGCAUUAGCUAGUUGGUAAGGUAACGGCUUACCAAGGCGAUGAUGCAUAGCCGAGUUGAGAGACUGAUCGGCCACAUUGGGACUGAGACACGGCCCAAACUCCUACGGGAGGCAGCAGUAGGGAAUCUUCCACAAUGGACGCAAGUCUGAUGGAGCAACGCCGCGUGAGUGAAGAAGGUUUUCGGAUCGUAAAGCUCUGUUGUUGGUGAAGAAGGAUAGAGGUAGUAACUGGCCUUUAUUUGACGGUAAUCAACCAGAAAGUCACGGCUAACUACGUGCCAGCAGCCACGGUAAUACGUAGGUGGCAAGCGUUGUCCGGAUUUAUUGGGCGUAAAGCGAGCGCAGGCGGAUUGAUAAGUCUGAUGUGAAAGCCUUCGGCUCAACCGAAGAACUGCAUCAGAAACUGUCAAUCUUGAGUGCAGAAGAGGAGAGUGGAACUCCAUGUGUAGCGGUGGAAUGCGUAGAUAUAUGGAAGAACACCAGUGGCGAAGGCGGCUCUCUGGUCUGUAACUGACGCUGAGGCUCGAAAGCAUGGGUAGCGAACAGG